Molecule: transfer RNA, 75 nt
Filed under: Mycoplasma suis KI3806
Lineage: Bacteria; Bacillati; Mycoplasmatota; Mollicutes; Mycoplasmatales; Mycoplasmataceae
Also listed under: 3 other names
Description: tRNA-Lys (TTT) (tRNA-Lys-TTT-1-1)
Rfam family: tRNA
About the family: Transfer RNA (tRNA) molecules are approximately 80 nucleotides in length. Their secondary structure includes four short double-helical elements and three loops (D, anti-codon, and T loops). Further hydrogen bonds mediate the characteristic L-shaped molecular structure. tRNAs have two regions of fundamental functional importance: the anti-codon, which is responsible for specific mRNA codon recognition, and the 3' end, to which the tRNAs corresponding amino acid is attached (by aminoacyl-tRNA synthetases). tRNAs cope with the degeneracy of the genetic code in two manners: having more than one tRNA (with a specific anti-codon) for a particular amino acid; and 'wobble' base-pairing, i.e. permitting non-standard base-pairing at the 3rd anti-codon position.
Source: RNAcentral
GAUUCACUAGCUCAGCGGCAGAGCAUUUGGCUUUUAACCAAAGGGUCCUGGGUUCGAAUCCCAGGUGAAUCACCA